CACGUAGGGGGCAAGCGUUGUCCGGAAUCAUUGGGCGUAAAGAGCUCGUAGGCGGCUCGGUAAGUCGGGUGUGAAACCCCUAGGCUCAACCUAGGGACGCCACCCGAUACUGCUGUGGCUAGAGUCCAGUAGGGGAGUGUGGAAUUCCCGGUGUAGCGGUGAAAUGCGCAGAUAUCGGGAGGAACACCAGCGGCGAAGGCGGCACUCUGGGCUGGUACUGACGCUGAGGAGCGAAAGCGUGGGGAGCGAACAGG
This 254-nucleotide ribosomal RNA is filed under the name uncultured bacterium. RNAcentral describes it as "partial 16S ribosomal RNA". It matches the Rfam family "Bacterial small subunit ribosomal RNA", at positions 524 to 776 of the family's 1533-position model. The record is from RNAcentral.